Molecule: ribosomal RNA, 1501 nt
Filed under: uncultured bacterium
Lineage: Bacteria
Description: bacterial SSU rRNA
Rfam family: Bacterial small subunit ribosomal RNA
Source: RNAcentral
AGAGUUUGAUCCUGGCUCAGAUUGAACGCUGGCGGUAUGCUUAACACAUGCAAGUCGAACGGAAACGAAACUAGCUUGCUAGUAGGCGUCGAGUGGCGGACGGGUGAGUAACGCGUAGGAAUCUGCCUGAUAGUGGGGGAUAGCCCGAAGAAAUUCGGAUUAAUACCGCAUAAUCUAUUCGUAGUAAAGUGGGGGACUUUCGAGCCUCACGCUAUCAGAUGAGCCUGCGUAGGAUUAGCUUGUUGGUAGGGUAAAAGCCUACCAAGGCAACGAUCUUUAGCUGGUCUGAGAGGAUGAUCAGCCACAUCGGGACUGAGACACGGCCCGAACUCCUACGGGAGGCAGCAGUGGGGAAUAUUGGACAAUGGGGGCAACCCUGAUCCAGCAAUACCGCGUGUGUGAAGAAGGCCUGAGGGUUGUAAAGCACUUUCAAUUGUGAAGAAAAGUUAACGGUUAAUAACCGUUGACCUUGACGUUAACUUUAGAAGAAGCACCGGCUAACUCCGUGCCAGCAGCCGCGGUAAUACGGAGGGUGCAAGCGUUAAUCGGAAUUACUGGGCGUAAAGCGUGCGUAGGCGGUUUAUUAAGUCAGAUGUGAAAGCCCCGGGCUUAACCUGGGAACUGCAUUUGAAACUGGUCAACUAGAGUAUGGUAGAGGAAAGUGGAAUUUCUGGUGUAGCGGUGAAAUGCGUAGAUAUCAGAAGGAACAUCAAUGGCGAAGGCAGCUUUCUGGACCAAUACUGACGCUGAGGUACGAAAGCGUGGGUAGCAAACAGGAUUAGAUACCCUGGUAGUCCACGCCGUAAACGAUGAUAACUAGCCGUUGGGGGGAUUUACCCCUUAGUGGCGAAGCUAACGCGUUAAGUUAUCCGCCUGGGGAGUACGGCCGCAAGGCUAAAACUCAAAGGAAUUGACGGGGACCCGCACAAGCGGUGGAGCAUGUGGUUUAAUUCGAUGCAACGCGAAGAACCUUACCUGGUCUUGACAUCCUGCGAACUUUCUAGAAAUAGAUUGGUGCCUUCGGGAACGCAGUGACAGGUGCUGCAUGGCUGUCGUCAGCUCGUGUCGUGAGAUGUUGGGUUAAGUCCCGUAACGAGCGCAACCCCUAUCCUUAUUUGCCAGCACAUUAUGGUGGGAACUAUAAGGAGACUGCCGGUGAUAAACCGGAGGAAGGCGGGGACGACGUCAAGUCAUCAUGGCCCUUACGACCAGGGCUACACACGUGCUACAAUGGGAAGGACAAAGAGCCGCGAAGCCGCGAGGUGUAGCUAAUCUCAUAAAUCUUUUCGUAGUCCGGAUUGGAGUCUGCAACUCGACUCCAUGAAGUCGGAAUCGCUAGUAAUCGUAGAUCAGAAUGCUACGGUGAAUACGUUCCCGGGUCUUGUACACACCGCCCGUCAUACCAUGGGAGUGGGUUGCACCAGAAGUGGCUAGUCUAACUUUGUGAGGACGGUCACCACGGUGUGAUUCAUGACUGGGGUAAAGUCGUAACAAGGUAACC